Molecule: small RNA, 563 nt
Filed under: Stylophora mamillata
Lineage: Eukaryota; Metazoa; Cnidaria; Anthozoa; Scleractinia; Pocilloporidae
Description: eukaryotic LSU rRNA
Rfam family: Eukaryotic large subunit ribosomal RNA (bases 334-563)
Source: RNAcentral
GCAGAAUUCAGUGAAUCAUCGAAUCUUUGAACGCAAAUGGCGCUCUUGGGUUCUCCCAGGAGCAUGUCUGUCUGAGUGUCUUUUUCGUUGAAUGACAUUCGCACGAUGUGGCCGUGUUAUGCACUGGCGUUUCGUGCGGCGUUGAGGUUCGCGGCCUUGCUAUUCUUAGGCCGCGUGCCUUUAAAUGGAGGAGGAAGAUGGGCUCAAGGUCCGGUGCAGUCGCAUGCGGAUUCAGUUCAUGUGCCGCAUGUGACUGCUGCAUCGGGAAUAUUGUCCUCGGCCCUCUACCUCGUGACCUUUAGCACGACGCUCGUUCGUUCGUUGCUUGCCGCCAGACCUCAGAUCAGGCAAGGCUACCCGCUGAAUUUAAGCAUAUUAAUAAGCGGAGGAAAAGAAACUAACAAGGAUUCCCCCAGUAACGGCGAGUGAAGCGGGAAGAGCUCAAAUUUGAAAUCUCCGAUGCCUGCAUCGGCGAGUUGUAGUUGCGAGAAGCACUUUCUAGGCGGAAGGGCCCUGCCUAAGUUGCUUGGAACAGCACGUCGCAGAGGGUGACAACCCCGUCU